UACGAAGGGGGCUAGCGUUGUCGUCGAAAUCACUGGGCGUAAAGCGCACGUAGGCGGAUCUUAAGUCAGGGGUGAAAUCCCGGGGCUCAACCCCGGAACUGCCCUUGAAACUGCAGUGCUAGAAUCUUGGAGAGGUCAGUGGAAUUCCGAGUGUAGAGGUGAAAUUCGUAGAUAUUCGGAAGAACACCCAGUGGCGAAGGCGACUGACUGGACAAGUAUUGACGCUGAGGUGCGAAAGCGUGGGGAGCAAACAGG
This 255-nucleotide ribosomal RNA is filed under the name uncultured bacterium. Its description in RNAcentral is "partial 16S ribosomal RNA". It matches the Rfam family "Bacterial small subunit ribosomal RNA", at positions 524 to 776 of the family's 1533-position model. The record is from RNAcentral.